GGUGCUUACUUUGGCACCAUACAUAAUUGGAAUGAUACAGAAAAGAUUAUCAUGGCCCCUGAGUAAGGGUGACACACGAAUUCACGAAGAAUACCUUUUUUUU
Molecule: small nuclear RNA, 103 nt
Organism: Ochotona curzoniae (black-lipped pika)
Lineage: Eukaryota; Metazoa; Chordata; Mammalia; Lagomorpha; Ochotonidae
Source: RefSeq, a predicted model, not a curated record